This 747-nucleotide ribosomal RNA is filed under the name uncultured bacterium. RNAcentral's name for it is "bacterial SSU rRNA". It matches the Rfam family "Bacterial small subunit ribosomal RNA", at positions 28 to 764 of the family's 1533-position model. The record is from RNAcentral.
AUUGAACGCUGGCGGCAGGCCUAACACAUGCAAGUCGAACGGUAACAGGAAGAAGCUUGCUUCUUCGCUGACGAGUGGCGGACGGGUGAGUAAUGUCUGGGAAACUGCCUGAUGGAGGGGGAUAACUACUGGAAACGGUAGCUAAUACCGCAUAACGUCGCAAGACCAAAGAGGGGGACCUUCGGGCCUCUUGCCAUCGGAUGUGCCCAGAUGGGAUUAGCUAGUAGGUGGGGUAACGGCUCACCUAGGCGACGAUCCCUAGCUGGUCUGAGAGGAUGACCAGCCACACUGGAACUGAGACACGGUCCAGACUCCUACGGGAGGCAGCAGUGGGGAAUAUUGCACAAUGGGCGCAAGCCUGAUGCAGCCAUGCCGCGUGUAUGAAGAAGGCCUUCGGGUUGUAAAGUACUUUCAGCGGGGAGGAAGGGAGUAAAGUUAAUACCUUUGCUCAUUGACGUUACCCGCAGAAGAAGCACCGGCUAACUCCGUGCCAGCAGCCGCGGUAAUACGGAGGGUGCAAGCGUUAAUCGGAAUUACUGGGCGUAAAGCGCACGCAGGCGGUUUGUUAAGUCAGAUGUGAAAUCCCCGGGCUCAACCUGGGAACUGCAUCUGAUACUGGCAAGCUUGAGUCUCGUAGAGGGGGGUAGAAUUCCAGGUGUAGCGGUGAAAUGCGUAGAGAUCUGGAGGAAUACCGGUGGCGAAGGCGGCCCCCUGGACGAAGACUGACGCUCAGGUGCGAAAGCGUGG